UACGGGAGGCAGCAGUGGGGAAUAUUGCACAAUGGGCGGAAGCCUGAUGCAGCGACGCCGCGUGGGGGAUGACGGCCUUCGGGUUGUAAACUCCUUUCGACAGGGACGAAGCUUUUUGUGACGGUACCUGUAUAAGAAGCACCGGCUAACUACGUGCCAGCAGCCGCGGUAAUACGUAGGGUGCGAGCGUUGUCCGGAAUUACUGGGCGUAAAGAGCUCGUAGGUGGUUUGUCGCGUCGUCUGUGAAAUUCCGGGGCUUAACUCCGGGCGUGCAGGCGAUACGGGCAUAACUUGAGUGCUGUAGGGGAGACUGGAAUUCCUGGUGUAGCGGUGAAAUGCGCAGAUAUCAGGAGGAACACCGAUGGCGAAGGCAGGUCUCUGGGCAGUUACUGACGCUGAGGAGCGAAAGCAUGGGUAGCGAACAGGAUUAGAUACC
RNAcentral lists this ribosomal RNA (436 nucleotides) under uncultured bacterium. RNAcentral describes it as "bacterial SSU rRNA". It matches the Rfam family "Bacterial small subunit ribosomal RNA", at positions 340 to 786 of the family's 1533-position model. The record is from RNAcentral.